UUAUCACCAAUUUGUCCAUUUCGUUUGUGAUGAUAAAAAGAAAAGAAAAAAAAAAACUCAAAAGGGUAUAUAUAUAUGUAGCUACUCAGAUUUCUCAAAUGAUCCAAUCGCCAUUACUGGUUCUUUGCAUGCUGUGGAGAUCGAGAGGCAUCGCCGUUGUCUGUGUGGAGUAUCCACUCUAGUCUUCACUUGAUGGUAUGAGCUUUAAAAGGUGUUUUGCGUGCACUGUGCGUGCGUCAUGCGUGCGUUGUGCGUGCACUUUCCUUGUAUGAUAAAAAAUGACCUCAUUUAUCAAUAUUCUUGCAUUUAACCAAGCGGUGGCCAGACAGAGGCGGGCAAAUGAAAUUAAGUACUACUAGGGGUGCCUUCCCCGGUUGCUGAAUUGCGGUAUAUAAAGUGUGUAAUGUUCUCGGGUGUCCUGGAUCCUCUAUUCUCAAAGAAUAUUACACACUUUAUAUGCUGCAGUUCGGAAACCGGGAGAGGCACCCCUAGCAGUACUGAACCGGCCAGCGGCCGUGGAUGCAACAUGGCUACCGUGGCCUAUCGUGUCCGUGACUCACCAAAAUGGCACUCCAGAGGCAUCAUAGUAAAAUCUGGCACCUAUUAUUUUUCUAAUAAGGAUCCACCAAAGUUUAUAUAAGUUGAUAAACUACUAACUACUCAAAUGCAGCGAACCUUGUACAUGAAACUAGCUUGUCUUCUCGUUUAUUACUUAUUACAAUUGAUAUAGGACUCUGCCAAUAAAAAAACAAAAAUAUAUAUAUAUGACAGAGUACUGUACUAUACUGUAAA
Molecule: long non-coding RNA, 792 nt
Organism: Ipomoea triloba (trilobed morning glory)
Lineage: Eukaryota; Viridiplantae; Streptophyta; Magnoliopsida; Solanales; Convolvulaceae
Exons: 2
Source: RefSeq, a predicted model, not a curated record